GCUCUCUUAGUAUAAUCAAUAUAACUGACUUCCAAUUAGUAGAUUCCGAAACCAUCACGGAAGAGAGUA
RNAcentral lists this transfer RNA (69 nucleotides) under Ochromyscus brockmani (Brockman's Myomyscus). RNAcentral's name for it is "Myomyscus brockmani (Brockman's Myomyscus) tRNA-Gly". The record is from RNAcentral. Lineage: Eukaryota; Metazoa; Chordata; Mammalia; Rodentia; Muridae. RNAcentral also lists the same sequence under 1 other name.